This 730-nucleotide ribosomal RNA is filed under the name uncultured eukaryote. RNAcentral describes it as "SSU rRNA". It matches the Rfam family "Eukaryotic small subunit ribosomal RNA", at positions 670 to 1427 of the family's 1831-position model. The record is from RNAcentral.
CGGGUGCACUGAUCCAGCCGGGCCUUUCCCUCUGUGGAACCCCAUGGCCUUCACUGGCUGUGGUGGGGAAACAGGACUUUUACUUUGAAAAAAUUAGAGUGCUCCAGGCAGGCCUAUGCUCGAAUACAUUAGCAUGGAAUAAUAGAAUAGGACGUGUGGUUCUAUUUUGUUGGUUUCUAGGACCGCCGUAAUGAUUAAUAGGGACAGUCGGGGGCAUCAGUAUUCAAUUGUCAGAGGUGAAAUUCUUGGAUCUAUUGAAGACUAACUACUGCGAAAGCAUUUGCCAAGGAUGUUUUCAUUGAUAAGGAACGAAAGUUAGGGGAUCGAAGACGAUCAGAUACCGUCGUAGUCUUAACUAUAAACUAUGCCGACUAGGGAUCGGACGAUGUUAUUCUUUGACGCGUUCGGCACCUUUCGAGAAAUCAAAGUGCUUGGGCUCCAGGGGGAGUAUGGUCGCAAGGCUGAAACUUAAAGAAAUUGACGGAAGGGCACCACCAGGGGUGGAACCUGCGGCUUAAUUUGACUCAACACGGGGAAACUCACCAGGUCCAGACACAGUGAGGAUUGACAGAUUGAGAGCUCUUUCUUGAUUCUGUGGGUGGUGGUGCAUGGCCGUUCUUAGUUGGUGGAGUGAUUUGUCUGCUUAAUUGCGAUAACGAACGAGACCUUAACCUGCUAAAUAGCCCGUACUGCUUUGGCAGUUCGCCGGCUUCUUAGAGGGUACUAUCGG